CAGCGUGUAGCUCAGUAGCCAGAGCGCCGGGCUUGGGACCCGGAGGGCGCGGGGGCGGAACCCGCCACGCUGGCUA
This 76-nucleotide transfer RNA is filed under the name Thermomonospora curvata DSM 43183. Its description in RNAcentral is "tRNA-Pro". It matches the Rfam family "tRNA". From Rfam's summary of the family: Transfer RNA (tRNA) molecules are approximately 80 nucleotides in length. Lineage: Bacteria; Bacillati; Actinomycetota; Actinomycetes; Streptosporangiales; Thermomonosporaceae. The record is from RNAcentral. RNAcentral also lists the same sequence under 1 other name.